CCCAAAUAAAAGGUUAAGUUGCAAAUUUUGUAAUAAUGAAAAAAUCUCAAGAAAAUCCAAACAUUUUCACACAAAAAAUCUGUUUUUCAAGACUGGCCAAAUUUCCUCAAAAUACUUUUCGAAUUAAAACUUUUGUUCAGCUCUAAUUAACACCUGUAAUUGCAUAUAUCAAUGAAUGUUACCUGGUUCUUAGUACUGUAAUUUCUGAACUGACCAUCAUAGAUAAAUGGAAGUCAGGUCACAAGGAGUAAGAACAUGUGUCAAACCAUGUCCUGAAAUAUCACAUUGUCCACAAUGGAUAAAAGGCUCCAAGAAAGCUGAUUCCUAACCAGUAACCAUGUUCUGUGACAAUAUUGGUGAAAGAAACGGAGUCAGAGGAAUGGAGGGAGCUCCGGUUCUCUGGAUGAGUGUUGAUCAUGGGGUUCACAGCAUCCAGCAAGGCUUAACCUAAACCCAAAAUGACAGGUAUGACCUACACCAGCUAAAUUUAGAGAAAAGGAGUACUUGUGGCACCUUAGAGACGAACAAAUUUAUU
Chelonia mydas (Green sea turtle) is the source of this 535-nucleotide long non-coding RNA. RefSeq lists it as uncharacterized. The record is from RefSeq and is a predicted model, not a curated record. The transcript is spliced from 3 exons. NCBI's taxonomy places the organism in Eukaryota, Metazoa, Chordata, Testudines, Cheloniidae.